GAUGAACGCUGGCGGCGUGCUUAACACAUGCAAGUCGAACGGAAAGGCUCCUGCUUGCAGGGGUACUCGAGUGGCGAACGGGUGAGUAACACGUGGGUGAUCUGCCCUGCACUUCGGGAUAAGCCUGGGAAACUGGGUCUAAUACCGGAUAGGACGAUGGUUUGGAUGCCAUUGUGGAAAGUUUUUCGGUGUGGGAUGAGCUCGCGGCCUAUCAGCUUGUUGGUGGGGUAAUGGCCUACCAAGGCGUCGACGGGUAGUCGGCCUGAGAGGGUGUACGGCCACAUUGGGACUGAGAUACGGCCCAGACUCCUACGGGAGGCAGCAGUGGGGAAUAUUGCACAAUGGGCGCAAGCCUGAUGCAGCGACGCCGCGUGGGGGAUGACGGCCUUCGGGUUGUAAACUCCUUUCGCUAGGGACGAAGCGCAAGUGACGGUACCUGGAGAAGAAGCACCGGCUAACUACGUG
RNAcentral lists this ribosomal RNA (465 nucleotides) under uncultured bacterium. RNAcentral's name for it is "partial 16S ribosomal RNA". It matches the Rfam family "Bacterial small subunit ribosomal RNA", at positions 28 to 507 of the family's 1533-position model. The record is from RNAcentral.